Molecule: ribosomal RNA, 697 nt
Filed under: Suillus huapi
Lineage: Eukaryota; Fungi; Basidiomycota; Agaricomycetes; Boletales; Suillaceae
Description: LSU rRNA
Rfam family: Eukaryotic large subunit ribosomal RNA
Source: RNAcentral
UAGUAACUGCGAGUGAACCGGGAAAAGCUCAAAUUUUGAAUCUGGCGGUCUUUCGGCCGUCCGAGUUGUAAUCUAGAGAAGCGUCUUCCGCGCUGGACCGUGUAUAAGUUUCCUGGAAUGGAACGUCGUAGAGGGUGAGAAUCCCGUCUUUGACACGGACUGCCAGGGCUAUGUGAUGCGCUCUCGACGAGUCGAGUUGUUUGGGAAUGCAGCUCAAAUAGGGUGGUAAAUUCCAUCUAAAGCUAAAUACAGGCGAGAGACCGAUAGCGAACAAGUACCGUGAGGGAAAGAUGAAAAGAACUUUGGAAAGAGAGUUAAACAGUACGUGAAAUUGCUGAAAGGGAAACGCUUGAUGUCAGUCGCGUCGGCCGGGGAUCAGCCUUGCUCUUUUGCUCGGUGUAUUUCCUGGUCGACGGGUCAGCAUCGGUUUCGACCGUCGGAAAAUGGCUCGAGGAAUGUGGCACUCUUCGGAGUGUGUUAUAGACUCGGGUCGAAUACGACGAUCGGGACCGAGGAACUCAGCACGACCUUCGGGUUUCGGGGCUUCGGCCCACGUCGACGUGCUUAGGAUGCUGGCAUAAUGGCCUUAAGCGACCCGUCUUGAAACACGGACCAAGGAGUCUAACUCGCAUGCGAGUGUUUGGGCGAUUAAAACCCGAGCGCGCAAUGAAAGUGAAAGUCGAGACCUCUGUCGUGG